CUUGCUUACUAUCUAAAAUCAUUCCUCUCUUAGAAGUAGCUUCUGGUGCAACGUAAGGUCUGUUAUAGUGGCAGAAUCGUCUCAAAUACAGGUAGGAGACAAACAACACAAAACAAAACACAGAGCUGGCUUUCAAUACAGUUACCAGAGAGGACAGAGAGCCGGUUGGUGUUUUCCGUCUGUGGAACUACCAUUUUAUAACAGUUACUCUCGCUGCUGCUGCUGACGCUGUUGUGGCUGUUGUUGCUGUCGUUGCUGCUAGUAUUGCUGCUGUCUCUGCCGUCUCCACGUCUCUCCCUGUAGGACUCCACCUUACUUCGAACUUAGUGUCUUCAACCUUAUCAUCAUAAAAAAAAAAAAAACUUUUAUUUCUUUAUCACCGUUCUUUACUAACACUGCUUCACACAUUCACCCACCCUACCCUAUCUUCCAAAAGGGAGUAAAAAGUUCUAUUAGCAGUUGGCUGACGAUUUCUUCUGCUUAAGCAUUCUCUGCUACCACCACCGCCGCCAGCACCCUCAAUCGACAGCAAUACCAGCACUUGCACUACACCCUGCCUUCAGCCACCACCGCCACUACCGCCACCAUCGCUUGCAGUACACUCUACCCUCACCACCGCCAUCCUUAUCGGCACUACCAAACACCCACAACUACCAACACCGCAGUCAGCACUAACACGCCGUUACCCUCCAACACCACCCCACUCUACAGUGCUGAACCGAGGUUUCUGUUACCUGUAGAGAAGCAAAAAGCCCAGAGUAGGUAGCAUAGCAGAUAGUGAGAAAGCACAGCAGCCACAGAAAAUCCAUUCCUGCUACCCAACAUCAAGAUGGAAUGACGUUACUUUGCGUGGAAGGUAGUCAACACUGCCACCCCCUAGAAUAUUUCUUCUUCUUCUUGAACAAGAUCUCUUUCAAGCCGCCGACGCCAUACUCUUACCACCAUUAGCCGGCCUCAGCUGAUAAAUUUUUUUUUAAUAUCAAUUUUUUCGCGAUCCCCACCCCAAAAAUCUAGUAACAAAAGUAAAGAAAAACAACUCAAAAACAGAAAUAACAAAUACCAAAAAACGGAAAAAAAGGCGACUGUGAACAACAAAAUAACCCCCUAAAUAUAUAUAUAGCACACUUUGUUAUUCGAUUAACAAAGUUUCUCCAAUUUGUUCCAUUUGGGGGGGUGCAUUGAAAAAAAAAAUAACAAGACAGAAGAAACUUCCUAGAAAAUUUUAAUAUGUAAUUAAUUAGCAAAUAAUUAAUCAAUAAAUUUCUUGCAAUUUAGCAUGACUAAUUAGUUGCAUUUACAAUAAUAUUAACAAUAAAUAUUUGCAAAGGAAACAGGCGAAUUGAGUUUAGAUUAAAACCAUAUUUUGUUCCCCAGGAAGCAAUUAUAGUUUUGAUAACUUGACAGCGCCGAGAGGAAAAGAGGGAUUUAUCGGAACAGUUCAAUCUAUUCGAAGAUAGAGAAUCCAAGUACUCUUUGGCUACUAGAUUUUUGGAACUUGACAGGAUCAUGAUCAGUACUGGGAUUUUAACCGUCACCCUUGACGGCGGAGCACCAUGGGGCUUCAGGCUACAAGGAGGUGGUCCCAACCCAUUGCAAGUUCUCAAGGUACGGAAGAAGAGCAAGGCACACAAUCAUCUGAGAGAGGCUGAUACACUUCUGAAAGUAAAUGGAGUACAAGUUCGCGGUAAAAGCCAUGAGUCGGUUAUGGACACGUUGGAAUCCAUUGUUGGUCAACCACUGGUUUUGGAGAUUUACAGGGGUGAUCCAUUGCAAAAGCUACCCAGGGGUUCAGAUGCACCAGACACUACUGCUGACGUGGCAAACCCUCCAUCUGUUCAGACGUCAUACAAAUCGGUUACUACUUCGUUUAAGAUGGCAGAGCCAACACAGCAGAAUAAAAAAACUGAGCGCUCAAUUAUGACGAAGAAGACAACGCAUCAAAACAUCAUUAAAACCUCUCAACAAAAGCACACCAACUUUAUGAUGCCCGGAAGACCAAACCAACAACAGGAACCGCAAGCAUUUAACCAAAUCCACCAAAAUUUUUAUGGGGGGUCACAGGGGACCCAACAACCUAUCGAUAAUCGAUCCGUCACCCCGCAAGCAGUUCAUCCCGAUCAAAAUUUAAUUCAACAGCAGAGAAUCACUCAUCAGAGUAAUGUCACGCAAUUUACUCAGGAUCAGCAUAAUCAUGUAACAACCACCGAAACAAAAGUUCACCAUACCUAUAUGGGUCCCCUAGAGCCACAUCAACCAUUGGCUGGUACAAAGCCAAAGGUCGCUAGUCACCUACCUUUGCGACCACCGCCACCUUUAAUUGCUGCCAAACCGCAGCCGUUUAAAUCACCAUCUGUGUCGCCCAUGCCACCGAGUUCUCCAGUUUCUUUUCCCGUAGAAGACAAAGAGAACGUUUCUCCUGCUGAUUCUAGCUCCAAUAUAAACAUACCCAAAUUUAAUGUGGUUAACCUAAAAAACGUGGUUAAUAGGCCAUGGGGUGAGGUGCAUUUAGAUGAAUUACAUAUUCCUUUGCCUAAUUAUCAAUCAAAAUUGCAGACUGUUCCUAAAAGAGACACGUCACCAACUGUGGAAAAGAAAACAAUUGUCAUUCCUGAAAUGACGAUCCAGCCAUUAACUGAGGAGGAACUUAUGGCGAAAAAACUGGCCGGGAAACAACCUGAUUAUUAUGAAGAGAUUAAAGAUGACGAAAAUUUGAUUGUACCUAUUUUUGUUGAAGAUCGUCCACACCUACCCGUAUUUGGCCCCCCUGUGGUAUAUGGUCUCAACCCAGCUUUGGUGCCGUUUCAACAGAAGAGUGUUGAAGAAGAGAGUGUAGCGUCUGAAGCAAGUUCUGGCUCCAAGAAGAGCAGUUUCACAAUGGAUAGCAGGAAACAGAAAAUCUAUUCGGAUUCUUCGUUCUACAAUGAUCCGAAGGCAGUGUACCCCACCAUAGAGGAGCAAAUCAACUUGUGUAAGAAGAUCUCGUACUCACUGACGGCUGCAGCCAAUAAAAAAGCGCGGGGGGCAACCAUGUUUGCAAAACGUCAGAAGCGUUCUUCCAAGUGGAUACAUGACGGUUUUUCUACGGUGAGUGACGGAAACAUCGCAGACUUAUCCGAGCUUAGCAGUGAGCUGAGCCCAUUCGACGGUGGAACGAAACCGCUUUUCCAAUUUCGCAUACCCAGAGUUGCACAUCAGGUAUCAGUCAACGAGGAGAAGAUGAGUCUUUCAAGGGAAGAAUUUGAAUCAUUAAGGGUAAGCCAGCCAAAAGUUGACCACCGUGCUGUAAAACCAACCUUAUGCAGCAAUUUAGUUGCUGAUCUACAUAACAACAAGGGCCGUGGUGCUAAGCUCUUCGCUAAACGCCAAGCUCGAUCUGAGAAAUGGGUCGUUGAUGACAAAAGUGUGAAAAGCCCAUCAACUCCUGAGGCAAACGUAAAUAUGAUGAAUGUACAGAAUAAAUUGUCAACCAUGAUUGAGACGCCAAUGCCAAUAAUAAAACAAAAGCCACCGAGACCUGAGCAGUUGCCAAAUGUACCAAAAGCGGUUCCAGUUCCAAUCGUGAAAACAGAUCUGAAGUCUGGCGGUCAUGCUAUAAAUCUCGAUGGACCCAACUUCAAUAGAAAGGCACGAGGAUGGAAUGCUCCUGCACCGAGAAAACGUGGGAAGCUGGAGAAAUUCUUUGGCUUCUUGAGCGCCUGCUCUUGCAGCUCCUCCAGAAAAACGGAUGCUGUGUAGGUUACGCUGCCGUUUGAACCUAUCAAACCAAACUCUUAGCUGUGAAUGCUUCUGAAUUAUCUUCUUCUUCUUCUUCGCCAGUUGUACCGCAGAUUCCACCGCAAGCAGGGAAGAAAGCACCGCCACCACCGGUAGCUCCGAAACCCAGCAGAGGCAAAGGGCAACACACCCGUUCGUCUUCUGACCAAUUAGGUUACUGUUCGGACGUAGAUCA
This 3949-nucleotide unclassified non-coding RNA is filed under the name Octopus sinensis (East Asian common octopus). RNAcentral's name for it is "uncharacterized LOC115212926, transcript variant X1". Lineage: Eukaryota; Metazoa; Mollusca; Cephalopoda; Octopoda; Octopodidae. The record is from RNAcentral.